CUGGGGGGUGUUGGCACCCCGACCUUCGGGGGCUGAUUUUUGGGCGCGGCUGUGCCCGUGGCCUAUUUUUGGCACACGGAGGCCGCCCGCAACGUCUGGGGCCAUUCCGAGUGCGGCGGACGAACUUCGCCCACGCCCCCCACCAAGGCUAUAGCCCACCCGUUUUUUGGCCAUUUUUCCGCUGGGGGGUCUUGGCACCCCGACCUUCGGGGGCUGAUUUUUGGGCGCGGCUCUGCCCGUGGCCUAUUUUUGGCACACGGAAGCCGCCCGCAAAGUCUGGGGCCAUUCCGAGUCCGGCGGACGAACUUCGCCCACGCCCCCCACCAAGGCUAUAGCCCACCCGUUUUUUGGCCAUUUUUCCGCUGGGGGGUCAUGGCACCCCGACCUUCGGGGGCUGAUUGUUGGGCGCGGCUCUGCCCGUGGCUUAUUUUUGGCACACGGAGGCCGCCCGCAAAGUCUGUGGCCAUUCAGAGUUCGGCGGACGAACUUCGCCCACGCCCCCCACCAAGGCUAUAGCCCACCCGUUUUUUGGCCAUUUUUCCGCUGGGGGGUCUUGGCGCCCCGACCUUCGGGGGCUGAUUUUUGGGCGCGGCUGUGCCCGUUGCCUAUUUUUGGCACACGGAGGCCGCCCGCAAAGUCUGGGGCCAUUCCGAGUCCGGCGGACGAACUUCGCCCACGCCCCCCACCAAGGCUAUAGCCCGCCCACCCGUUUUUUGGCUAUUUUUCCGCUGGGGGGUCUUGGCGCCCCGACCUUCGGGGGCUGAUUUUUGGGCGCUGGUGUGCCCGUGGCCAAUUUUUGGCACAAGGAGGCCGCCCGCAAAGUCUGGGGCCAUUCCGAGUCCGGCGGACGAACUUCGCCCACGCCCCCCACCAAGGCUAUAGCCCACCCAUUUUUUGGCCAUUUUUCCGCUGGGGGGUCUUGGCGCCCCGACCUUCGGGGGCUGAUUUUUGGGCGCGGCUCUGCCCGUGGCCUAUUUUUGGCACAAGGAAGCCGCCCACAAAGUCUGGGGCCAUUCCGAGUCCGGCGGACGAACUUCGCCCACGCCCCCCACCAAGGCUAUAGCCCACCCGUUUUUUGGCCAUUUUUCCGCUGGGGGGUCUUGGCGCCCCGAUCUUCGGGGGCUGAUUUUUGGGCGCGGCUCUGCCCGUGGCCUAUUUUUGGCACACGGAAGCCGCCCGCAAAGUCUGGGGCCAUUCCGAGUCCGGCGGACGAACUUCGCCCACGCCCCCCACCAAGGCUAUAGCCCACCCGUUUUUUGGCCAUUUUUCCGCUGGGGGGUGUUGGCACCCCGACCUUCGGGGGCUGAUUUUUGGGCGCGGCUGUGCCCGUGGCCUAUUUUUGGCAAACGGAGGCCGCCCGCAACGUCUGGGGCCAUUCCGAGUCCGGCGGACGAACUUCGCCCACGCCCCCCACCAAGGCUAUAGCCCACCCGUUUUUUGGCCAUUUUUCCGCUGGGGGGUCUUGGCGCCCAGACCUUCGGGGGCUGAUUUUUGGGCGCGGCUGUGCCCGUGGCCUAGUUUUGGCACACGGAGGCCGCCCGCAAAGUCUGGGGCCAUUCCGAGUCCGGCGGACGAACUUCGCCCACGCCCCCCACCAAGGCUAUAGCCCACCCGUUUUUUGGCCAUUUUUCCGCUGGGGGGUCUUGGCACCCCGACCUUCGCGGGCUGAUUUUUGGGCGCGGCUCUGCCCGUGGCCUAUUUUUGGCACACGGAAGCCGCCCGCAAAGUCUGGGGCCAUUCCGAGUCCGGCGGACGAACUUCGCCCACGCCCCCCACCAAGGCUAUAGCCCACCCGUUUUUUGGCCAUUUUUCCGCUGGGGGGUCUUGGCACCCCGACCUUCGCGGGCUGAUUUUUGGGCGCGGCUCUGCCCGUGGCCUAUUUUUGGCACACGGAAGCCGCCCGCAAAGUCUGGGGCCAUUCCGAGUCCGGCGGACGAACUUCGCCCACGCCCCCCACCAAGGCUAUAGCCCACCCGUUUUUUGGCCAUUUUUCCGCUGGGGGGACUUGGCACCCCGACCUUCGGGGGCUGAUUUUUGGGCGCGGCUCUGCCCGUGGCCUAUUUUUGGCACACGGAGGCCGCCCGCAAAGUCUGGGGCCAUUCCGAGUUCGGCGGAUGAACUGCGCCCACGCCCCCCACCAAGGCUAUAGCCCACCCGUUUUUUGGCCAUUUUUCCGCUGGGGGGUCUUGGCGCCCCAACCUUCGGGGGCUGAUUUUUGGGCGCGGCUGUGCCCGUUGCCUAUUUUUGGCACACGGAGGCCGCCCGCAAAGUCUGGGGCCAUUCCGAGUCCGGCGGACGAACUUCGCCCACGCCCCCCACCAAGGCUAUAGCCCGCCCACCCGUUUUUUGGCUAUUUUUCCGCUGGGGGGUCUUGGCGCCCCGACCUUCGGGGGCUGAUUUUUGGGCGCUGGUGUGCCCGUGGCCUAUUUUUGGCACACGGAGGCCGCGCGCAAAGUCUGGGGCCAUUCCGAGUUCGGCGGAUGAACUGCGCCCACGCCCCCCACCAAGGCUAUAGCCCACCCGUUUUUUGGCCAUUUUUCAGCUGGGGGGUGUUGGCACCCCGACCUUCGGGGGCUGAUUUUUGGGCGCGGCUGCGUCCGUGGCCUAUUUUUGGCACACGGAGGCCGCCCGCAACAUCUGGGGCCAUUCCAAGUCCGGCGGACGAACUUCGCCCACCCCCCCCACCAAGGCUAUAGCCCACCCGUUUUUUGGCCAUUUUUCCGCUGGGGGGUCUUGGCGCCCCGACCUUCGGGGGCUGAUUUUUGGGCGCGGCUCUGCCCGUGGCCUAUUUUUGGCACACAGAAGCCGCCCGCAAAGUCUGGGGCCAUUCCGAGUCCGGCGGACGUACUUCGCCCACGCCCCCCACCAAGGCUAUAGCCCACCCGUUUUUUGGCCAUUUUUCCGCUGGGGGGUGUUGGCACCCCGACCUUCGGGGGCUGAUUUUUGGGCGCGGCUGUGCCCGUGGCCUAUUUUUGGCACAUGGACGACGCCCGCAACGUCUGGGGCCAUUCCGAGUCCGGCGGACGAACUUCGCCCACGCCCCCCACCAAGGCUAUAGCCCACCCGUUUUUUGGCCAUUUUUCCGCUGGGGGGUGUUGGCACCCCGACCUUCGGGGGCUGAUUUUUGGGCGCGGCUGUGCCCGUGGCCUAUUUUUGGCACACGGAGGCCGCCCGCAAAGUCUGGGGCCAUUCCGAGUCCGGCGGACGAACUUCGCCCACGCCCCCCACCAAGGCUAUAGCCCACCCGUUUUUUGGCCAUUUUUCCGCUGGGGGGUGUUGGCACCCCGACCUUCGGGGGCUGACUUUUGGGCGCGGCUGUGCCCGUGGCCUAUUUUUGGCACACGGAGGCCGCCCGCAAAGUCUGGGGCCAUUCCGAGUCCGGCGGACGAACUUCGCCCACGCCCCCCACCAAGGCUAUAGCCCACCCGUUUUUUGGCCAUUUUUCCGCGGGGGGGUGUUGGCACCCCGACUUUCGGGGGCUGAUUUUUGGGCGCGGCUGUGCCCGUGGCCUAUUUUUGGCACACGGAGGCCGCCCGCAAAGUCUGGGGCCAUUCCGAGUCCGGCGGACGAACUUCGCCCACGCCCCCCACCAAGGCUAUAGCCCACCCGUUUUUUGGCCAUUUUUCAGCUGGGGGGUGUUGGCACCCCGACCUUCGGGGGCUGAUUUUUGGGCGCGGCUGUGCCCGUGGCCUAUUUUUGGCACACGGAGGCCGCCCGCAACAUCUGGGGCCAUUCCGAGUCCGGCGGACGAACUUCGCCCACGCCCCCCACCAAGGCUAUAGCCCACCCGUUUUUUGGCCAUUUUUCCGCUGGGGGGUCUUGGCGCCCCGACCUUCGGGGGCUGAUUUUUGGGCGCGGCUGUGCCCGUGGCCUAUUUUUGGCACACGGAGGCCGCCCGCAAAUUCUGGGGCCAUUCCGAGUCCGGCGGACGAACUUCGCCCACGCCCCCCACCAAGGCUAUAGUCCGCCCACCCGUUUUUUGCCCAUUUUUCCGCUGCGGGGUCUUGGCGCCCCGAUCUUCGGGGGCUGAUUUUUGGGCGCGGGUGUGCCCGUGGCCUGUUUUUGGCACACGGAGGCCGCCCGCAAAGUCUGGGGCCAUUCCGAGUCCGGCGGACGAACUUCGCCCACGCCCCCCACCAAGGCUAUAGCCCGCCCACCCGUUUUUUUUGCCAUUUUUCCGCUAGGGGGUAUUGGCGCCCCGACCUUCGGGGGCUGAUUUUUGGGCGCGGGUGUGCCCGUGGCCUGUUUUUGGCACACGGAGGCCGCCCGCAAAGUCUGGGGCCAUUCCGAGUCCGGCGGACGAACUUCGCCCACGCCCCCCACCAAGGCUAUAGCCCACCCGUUUUUUGGCCAUUUUUCCGCUGGGGGGUCUAGGCGCCCCGACAUUCGGGGGCUGAUUUUUGGGCGCGGCUGUGCCCGUGGCCUAUUUUUGGCACACGGAGGCCGCCCGCAAAGUCUGGGGCCAUUCCGAGUCCGGCGGACGAACUUCGCCCACGCCCCCCACCAAGGCUAUAGCCCCACCGUUUUUUGGCCAUUUUUCCGCUGGGGGGUCUUGGCGCCCCAACCUUCGGGGGCUGAUUUUUGGGCGCGGCUGUGCCCGUGGCCUAUUUUUGGCACACGGAGGCCGCCCGCAAAGUCUGGGGCCAUUCCGAGUCCGGCGGACGAACUUCGCCCACGCCCCCCACCAAGGCUAUAGCCCACCCGUUUUUUGGCCAUUUUUCCGCUGGGGGGUCUUGGCGCCUCGACCUUCGGGGGCUGAUUUUUGGGCGCGGCUCUGCCCGUGGCCUAUAUUUGGCACACGGAAGCCGCCCGCAAAGUCUGGGGCCAUUCCGAGUCCGGCGGACGAACUUCGCCCACGCCCCCCACCAAGGCUAUAGCCCACCCGUUUUUUGGCCAUUUUUCCGCUGGGGGGUGUUGGCACCCCGACCUUCGGGGGCUGAUUUUUGGGCGCGGCUCUGCCCGUGGCCUAUUUUUGGCACACGGAAGCCGCCCGCAAAGUCUGGGGCCAUUCCGAGUUCGGCGGACGAACUUCGCCCACGCCCCCCACCAAGGCUAUAGCCCACCCGUUUUUUGGCCAUUUUUCCGCUGGGGGGUGUUGGCACCCCGACAUUCGGGGGCUGAUUUUUGGGCGCGGCUGUGCCCGUGGCCUAUUUUUGGCACACGGAGGCCGCCCGCAAAGUCUGGGGCCAUUCCGAGUCCGGCGGACGAACUUCGCCCACGCCCCCCACCAAGGCUAUAGCCCGCCCACCCGUUUUUUGGGCAUUUUUCCGCCGGGGGGUCUUGGCGCCCCGACCUUCGGGGGCUGAUUUUUGGGCGCGGGUGUGCCCGUGGCCUGUUUUUGGCACACGGAGGCCGCCCGCAAAGUCUGGGGCCAUUCCGAGUCCGGCGGACGAACUUCGCCCACGCCCCCCACCAAGGCUAUAGCCCACCCGUUUUUUGGCCAUUUUUCCACUGGGGGGUCUUGGCGCCCCGACCUUCGGGGGCUGAUUUUUGGGCGCGGCUGUGCCCGUGGCCUGUUUUUGGCACACGGAGGCCGCCCGCAACGUCUGGGGCCAUUCCGAGUCCGGCGGACGAACUUCGCCCACGCCCCCCACCAAGGCUAUAGCCCACCCGUUUUUUGGCCAUUUUUCCGCUGGGGGGUCAUGGCACCCCGACCUUCGGGGGCUGAUUUUUGGGCGCGGCUCUGCCCGUGUCCUAUUUUUGGCACACGGAAGCCGCCCGCAAAGUCUGGGGCCAUUCCGAGUCCGGCGGACGAACUUCGCCCACGCCCCCCACCAAGGCUAUAGCCCACCCGUUUUUUGGCCAUUUUUCAGCUGGGGGGUGUUGGCACCCCGACCUUCGGGGGCUGAUUUUUGGGCGCGGCUGCGCCCGUGGCCUAUUUUUGGCACACGGAGGCCGCCCGCAACAUCUGGGGCCAUUCCGAGUCCGGCGGACGAACUUCGCCCACGCCCCCCACCAAGGCUAUAGCCCGCCCACCCGUUUUUUGGCUAUUUUUCCGCUGGGGGGUCUUGGCGCCCCGACCUUCGGGGGCUGAUUUUUGGGCGCUGGUGUGCCCGUGGCCUAUUUUUGGCACACGGAGGCCGCCCGCAAAGUCUGGGGCCAUUCCGAGUCCGGCGGACGUACUUCGCCCACGCCCCCCACCAAGGCUAUAGCCCACCCGUUUUUUGGCCAUUUUUCCGCUGGGGGGUGUUGGCACCCCGACCUUCGGGGGCUGAUUUUUGGGCGCGGCUGUGCCCGUGGCCUAUUUUUGGCACAUGGACGACGCCCGCAACGUCUGGGGCCAUUCCGAGUUCGGCGGACGAACUUCGCCCACGCCCCCCACCAAGGCUAUAGCCCACCCGUUUUUUGGCCAUUUUUCCGCUGGGGGGUGUUGGCACCCCGACCUUCGGGGGCUGAUUUUUGGGCGCGGCUGUGCCCGUGGCCUAUUUUUGGCACACGGAGGCCGCCCGCAACAUCUGGGGCCAUUCCGAGUCCGGCGGACGAACUUCGCCCACGCCCCCCACCAAGGCUAUAGCCCACCCGUUUUUUGGCCAUUUUUCCGCUGGGGGGUCUUGGCGCCCCGACCUUCGGGGGCCGAUUUUUGGGCGCGGCUGUGCCCGUGGCCUAUUUUUGGCACACGGAGGCCGCCCGCAAAGUCUGGGGCCAUUCCGAGUCCGGCGGACGAACUUCGCCCACGCCCCCCACCAAGGCUAUAGCCCACCCGUUUUUUGGCCAUUUUUCCGCUGGGGGGUGUUGGCACCCCGACCUUCGGGGGCUGAUUUUUGGGGGCGGCUGUGCCCGUGGCCUAUUUUUGGCACACGGAGGCCGCCCGCAACGUCUGGGGCCAUUCCGAGUCCGGCGGACGAACUUCGCCCACGCCCCCCACCAAGGCUAUAGCCCACCCGUUUUUUGGCCAUUUUUCAGCUGGGGGGUGUUGGCACCCCGACCUUCGGGGGCUGAUUUUUGGGCGCGGCUGUGCCCGUGGCCUAUUUUUGGCACACGGAGGCCGCCCGCAACAUCUGGGGCCAUUCCGAGUCCGGCGGACGAACUUCGCCCACGCCCCCCACCAAGGCUAUAGCCCACCCGUUUUUUGGCCAUUUUUCCGCUGGGGGGUCUUGGCGCCCCGACCUUCGGGGGCUGAUUUUUGGGCGCGGCUGUGCCCGUGGCCUAUUUUUGGCACACGGAGGCCGCCCGCAAAUUCUGGGGCCAUUCCGAGUCCGGCGGACGAACUUCGCCCACGCCCCCCACCAAGGCUAUAGUCCGCCCACCCGUUUUUUGCCCAUUUUUCCGCUGCGGGGUCUUGGCGCCCCGAUCUUCGGGGGCUGGUUUUUGGGCGCGGGUGUGCCCGUGGCCUGUUUUUGGCACACGGAGGCCGCCCGCAAAGUCUGGGGCCAUUCCGAGUCCGGCGGACGAACUUCGCCCACGCCCCCCACCAAGGCUAUAGCCCGCCCACCCGUUUUUUUUGCCAUUUUUCCGCUAGGGGGUCUUGGCGCCCCGACCUUCGGGGGCUGAUUUUUGGGCGCGGGUGUGCCCGUGGCCUGUUUUUGGCACACGGAGGCCGCCCGCAAAGUCUGGGGCCAUUCCGAGUCCGGCGGACGAACUUCGCCCACGCCCCCCACCAAGGCUAUAGCCCACCCGUUUUUUGGCCAUUUUUCCGCUGGGGGGUCUAGGCGCCCCGACAUUCGGGGGCUGAUUUUUGGGCGCCGCUGUGCCCGUGGCCUAUUUUUGGCACACGGAGGCCGCCCGCAAAGUCUGGGGCCAUUCCGAGUCCGGCGGACGAACUUCGCCCACGCCCCCCACCAAGGCUAUAGCCCACCCGUUUUUUGGCCAUUUUUCCGCUGGGGGGUCUUGGCGCCUCGACCUUCGGGGGCUGAUUUUUGGGCGCGGCUCUGCCCGUGGCCUAUAUUUGGCACACGGAAGCCGCCCGCAAAGUCUGGGGCCAUUCCGAGUCCGGCGGACGAACGUCGCCCACGCCCCCCACCAAGGCUAUAGCCCACCCGUUUUUUGGCCAUUUUUCCGCUGGGGGGUGUUGGCACCCCGACCUUCGGGGGCUGAUUUUUGGGCGCGGCUCUGCCCGUGGCCUAUUUUUGGCACACGGAAGCCGCCCGCAAAGUCUGGGGCCAUUCCGAGUCCGGUGGACGAACUUCGCCCACGCCCCCCACCAAGGCUAUAGCCCACCCGUUUUUUGGCCAUUUUUGCGCUGGGGGGUGUUGGCACCCCGACCUUCGGGGGCUGAUUUUUGGGCGCGGCUGUGCCCGUGGCCUAUUUUUGGCACACGGAGGCCGCCCGCAACGUCUGGGGCCAUUCCGAGUCCGGCGGACGAACUUCGCCCACGCCCCCCACCAAGGCUAUAGCCCACCCGUUUUUUGGCCAUUUUUCCGCUGGGGGGUGUUGGCGCCCCGACCUUCGGGGGCUGAUUUUUGGGCGCGGCUGUGCCCGUGGCCUAUUUUUGGCACACAGAGGCCGCCCGCAAAGUCUGGGGCCAUUCCGAGUCCGGCGGACGAACUUCGCACACGGCUCCCACCAAGGCUAUAGCCCACCCGUUUUUUGGCCUUUUUUCCGCUGGGGGGUGUUGGCACCCCGACCUUCGGGGGCUGAUUUUUGGGCGCGGCUGUGCCCGUGGCCUAUUUUUGGCACACGGAGGCCGCCCGCAAAGUCUGGGGCCAUUCCGAGUUCGGCGGACGAACUUCGCCCGCGCCCCCCACCAAGGCUAUAGCCCACCCGUUUUUUGGCCAUUUUUCCGCUGGGGGGUCUUGGCGCCCCGACCUUCGGGGGCUGAUUUUUGGGCGCGGCUGUGCCCGUGGCCUAUUUUUGGCACACGGAGGCCGCCCGCAAAGUCUGGGGCCAUUCCGAGUCCGGCGGACGAACUUCGCCCACGCCCCCCACCAAGGCUAUAGCCCGCCCACCCGUUUUUUGGCCAUUUUUCCGCUGGGGGGUCUUGGCGCCCCGACCAUCGGGGGCUGAUUUUUGGGCGCGGGUGUGCCCGUUGCCUGUUUUUGGCACACGGAGGCCGCCCGCAAAGUCUGGGGCCAUUCCGAGUCCGGCGGACGAACUUCGCCCACGCCCCCCACCAAGGCUAUAGCCCACCCGUUUUUUGGCCAUUUUUCCGCUGGGGGGUCUUGGCGCCCCGACCUUCGGGGGCUGAUUUUUGGGCGCGGCUGUGCCCGUGGCCUAUUUUUGGCACACGGAGGCCGCCCGCAAAAUCUGGGGCCAUUCCGAGUCCGGCGGACGAACUUCGCCCACGCCCCCCACCAAGGCUAUAGCCCACCCGUUUUUUGGCCAUUUUUCCGCUGGGGG
Molecule: long non-coding RNA, 9276 nt
Filed under: Citrus x clementina
Lineage: Eukaryota; Viridiplantae; Streptophyta; Magnoliopsida; Sapindales; Rutaceae
Description: Citrus clementina (C. clementina) long non-coding RNA (CCLE_LNC004800)
Source: RNAcentral